RNAcentral lists this ribosomal RNA (446 nucleotides) under uncultured bacterium. RNAcentral describes it as "partial 16S ribosomal RNA". It matches the Rfam family "Bacterial small subunit ribosomal RNA", at positions 29 to 523 of the family's 1533-position model. The record is from RNAcentral.
AACGAACGCUGGCGGCAGGCUUAACACAUGCAAGUCGAACGCCCCGCAAGGGGAGUGGCAGACGGGUGAGUAACGCGUGGGAACGUACCUUUCGCUUCGGAAUAGUCCCGGGAAACUGGGUUUAAUGCCGGAUACGCCGUAUUGGGAAAGAUUUAUCGGCGAAAGAUCGGCCCGCGUUAGAUUAGCUAGUUGGCGGUGUAAUGGACCACCAAGGCGACGAUCUAUAGCUGGUUUGAGAGGAUGAUCAGCCACACUGGGACUGAGACACGGCCCAGACUCCUACGGGAGGCAGCAGUGGGGAAUCUUGGACAAUGGGCGCAAGCCUGAUCCAGCCAUGCCGCGUGAGUGAAGAAGGCCUUAGGGUUGUAAAACUCUUUCGCCGGAGAAGAUAAUGACGGUAUCCGGAGAAGAAGCCCCGGCUAACUUCGUGCCAGCCGCCGCCGUAA